RNAcentral lists this ribosomal RNA (492 nucleotides) under uncultured bacterium. RNAcentral describes it as "partial 16S ribosomal RNA". It matches the Rfam family "Bacterial small subunit ribosomal RNA", at positions 29 to 507 of the family's 1533-position model. The record is from RNAcentral.
AGUGAACGCUGGCGGUAGGCCUAACACAUGCAAGUCGAACGGCAGCACAGUAAGAGCUUGCUCUUACGGGUGGCGAGUGGCGGACGGGUGAGGAAUACAUCGGAAUCUACUUUUUCGUGGGGGAUAACGUAGGGAAACUUACGCUAAUACCGCAUACGACCUACGGGUGAAAGCAGGGGAUCUUCGGACCUUGCGCGAUUGAAUGAGCCGAUGUCGGAUUAGCUAGUUGGCGGGGUAAAGGCCCACCAAGGCGACGAUCCGUAGCUGGUCUGAGAGGAUGAUAAGCCACACUGGAACUGAGACACGGCCCAGACUCCUACGGGAGGCAGCAGUGGGGAAUAUUGGACAAUGGGCGCAAGCCUGAUCCAGCCAUACCGCGUGGGUGAAGAAGGCCUUCGGGUUGUAAAGCCCUUUUGUUGGGAAAGAAAAGCAGCAGGUUAAUACCCCGCUGUUCUGACGGUACCCAAAGAAUAAGCACCGGCUAACUUCGUG